This 433-nucleotide ribosomal RNA is filed under the name uncultured bacterium. RNAcentral's name for it is "partial 16S ribosomal RNA". It matches the Rfam family "Bacterial small subunit ribosomal RNA", at positions 29 to 507 of the family's 1533-position model. The record is from RNAcentral.
AGCGAACGCUGGCGGCAGGCCUAACACAUGCAAGUCGAACGAACUCUUCGGAGUUAGUGGCGGACGGGUGAGUAACACGUGGGAACGUGCCUUUAGAUUCGGAAUAACUCAGGGAAACUUGUGCUAAUACCGAAUGUGCCCUUCGGGGGAAAGAUUUAUCGCCUUUAGAGCGGCCCGCGUCUGAUUAGCUAGUUGGUGAGGUAAAGGCUCACCAAGGCGACGAUCAGUGGCUGGUCUGAGAGGAUGAUCAGCCACAUUGGGACUGAGACACGGCCCAAACUCCUACGGGAGGCAGCAGUGGGGAAUCUUGCGCAAUGGGCGAAAGCCUGACGCAGCCAUGCCGCGUGAAUGAUGAAGGUCUUAGGAUUGUAAAAUUCUUUCACCGGGGACGAUAAUGACGGUACCCGGAGAAGAGGCCCCGGCUAACUUCGUG